RNAcentral lists this small RNA (28 nucleotides) under Bombyx mori (domestic silkworm). Its description in RNAcentral is "ovarian small RNA-5145". Lineage: Eukaryota; Metazoa; Arthropoda; Insecta; Lepidoptera; Bombycidae. The record is from RNAcentral.
GAGCGCCAGAUGGGUCUCCGAAGACCGG